Molecule: long non-coding RNA, 4860 nt
Organism: Arvicola amphibius (Eurasian water vole)
Lineage: Eukaryota; Metazoa; Chordata; Mammalia; Rodentia; Cricetidae
Exons: 3
Source: RefSeq, a predicted model, not a curated record
UGAGCCCGCGAGCAGCAGGAGCGUGGGGCGGCCGGGCGCGAGCCCACCAGGACGAGGAGAGGCAGGGAAGUGCCCGAGUGUGCGUGCGUGCAGGGGGGCUGUGGGGCGGGUGCGAGUGCGCGCGUGCUCGCGGACCGGCGUGGAGAGCAAAGCAGGGACGGACCAUCACCGGAACCCUCUCCGCCGCUCCGAAGACUCACCGGCACGCACCGACCCACGCGGAACCUGAGCCCUCAGCUUAGUGUCCCCAGCCCUAGUCUAGUCACUUCCCCGGCGGCCUGAGUUGGCACCCACAUCUUCAUGGCCCCCCCAACUCCCGCCCUCUAUCACUCACUGUCGCCUUGAACCCAAAGUGCAGCAGGCGGUCCCUGCUCGGAGCCAUUUUCCUCCUUUUUCUAGACGCCUCUGGGUUGGGGUAGUGCUGCUGCCGCCGCCGCCGCGGGUGCUCCUGCCGCCGCCUCCCCCGCCCCGGUGAAUUGCAUUCCGGGGUGCUGCGGGGAGGCCUGGGGGGCCGCUGCGGGGCGGCUGUCUCUCAGUGCCUGGCUGCCCAAGGCAUGAGCUGGUGGCGCUAAGAGGCGGACCUAGCGCCCAGCUCUGCCCAGGGACUGGUAGCGAGGCUUUACCUCGGGGUCAGGGGGUGCAACGCCCCAGCACUGCACCCAUUCCUUGGGCCGGGGGAGGGGCGCACACCGGUGGGGAGGGGGCAGGCUAGGCACUAGGGCCUGUGGCAUCCCCGCCCCUCCGGCCGGUGGCGCCCAAUGGGCUGUAGUGGCUGCUUGCCCUCCAAUCAGGGCGCUGGUUGGUGAGAGCCUCAACCUGACGCCAUUUCGGCGGGAGAAACAAGCAUGUAGGAGCGAGUAGGCGGCGGCGUCUGCCCACAGGAAACUAGGAUUUUCAUUGGACUAGGCUCCUAAUAUAGAAGCUUGUCCGUGUCAUCCUAUUAUUAAUGUAAACUCCAGCCUUCAAGAUUCCUAAACCUAUGACCUAUUGUCCAUGAAUUAGGAAACAAUCUAGAGUGAGUUGCCCCUUCAAAGAGAAACAAAUUACACAAUGUACCAAUCCUGAAGUAUUAAAAACCAUCAUAAAUUGCGCCCGUGCUCGAUGAGGUCACAAUACUGCUUUUAAUUGUAUACUCAAAGCAGUUAUGAGUUUAUCUCAUACUAUUUUUCUAAUUAGAAUCAGAUCAAGAUGAAAAUUUACAAGUGACAAAUGCUGUGAACCUUUAAAAAAAACUUUUUAGCUUGCUUACCUUAAAGCACUUUUUUUUUUUUUAAAGCACUUUUUUUUUUUUGAAACAGGGUUUAUGUAGUUGCUCCAGUUUUUCUGGAAUUCGAUAGAUCCACAUGCCUCUGACUCCCCAGUUCAGGCAUUUAAAGUGUGUAUCACCACGCCUGGCCAAACUUUCUUUUUUCCCCUAAAGAGGACUUCCUAAACAAACUCGCUUCAAAAAAUUCAGUUCUUGGGCCCACAAAAACCUAGGUCCACGUUAUAUUGUCUUUGAAUCCUACAUACUUUUAAAGCAUUUCCUUUUCUUCAGCCAAUGGAAAAAAAAGAGCAAAAUUUAGAAGCAUCCCAGCAAUAAUUACUGGUGAAUUUAUAACAACUGCAAUUCAGGAAAAAGUGAGAAAAACUGACACAUAGAUGAAUCAAAUAUAGGAAAAGAAAAAUAAAACCCUGUCUCUUAGGUCUACCAACUGUGCAUUCCUUUGGCCCAUUUAGAACACUGGUUUUUAAUUAAUUUGGAUUUUUUAAGAUGCUUACCAAAUGAAAAUAUUCAAACGGUAAGAUUUUUAUAGUGAUGAUUCAUCCCUGUAAUCCCACUACUCAGGAGGCCAAGGCAGUAAGGACUACUAGUUCUAAAUCAUACUAUGCUACAUAGCAAGUUCUUGGUCGACACUGUCUCAAAGAGACAAAUCUCAGAACAACAAAAGGCCAUCUCCCCAUCUCUUGGAAAGUGAGGGAAGGAGGAUAGAGUUCAAGGUCUGCCUAGGCUACAUAAAACCUAGUCUCAGAAAACAACAGAGGUCAGCCUGGUCUACAUAGUGACCCAUUUUAAAAAACAAAUAAAUAAAACCUCCAGAGACCUAUUAUUUUUAUCAAACAAAUUUAUUUGUAUGUAAAGCAACAGUUUUUUGUGAUGUUUUAGAGGGGGGAAAUCCCAGAAUCUGUUCACUUUCAAAAAAUGAAAAACAAAACAAAAUAUUUACAGAACAGCCAUACAUACAGAAAUCAAAUCAGAACUAAAGACCCUUCCCACUGCUCCUGAUGGACAUUUCUAAACUCAGAAUUUAAAGCUCUGCUCUAUCACUGAGCUUGUUUCCCAGCCUAGUUUCUAAGAUAACACUUCCUGCCCUCCAAAAGUUAACUCAAGACAAAUAAUAAUUGGGGGCAGGGCUGAAGAGGAAAAUAAAAUACAAAAUGAGAUUACCCAGGGAUUGUGAAUGUUUCCUACACUGACAUCUGCUGUGACUCAACUUUGGAUACUAUGUGACUCACCGGCUCCUCUGAAAAUUCAUGAUAUUGCUGUUCUAGAUUUUCAGACCUUGGCCUGACAAAAGGAAAAUCCCAUUCAAGAGUUAUUAACCUCAAGCUGGCUUUGGCAAUUAUGUAAGGUCCCCUUCCUCAUUUUGGAAACACUUCAAGAUACACUGAAUUUGAAUCUGAAAAAUUCUUGUACAUCAGAGCAGACUUUGUCCAAAGAUUCUUAACAUGAAGCCAGAAGACAGAAGAAUCAGGUCAAAUUAAAAAAUACAAGAAGUCCAGCAGCAGCAAACAGAAGCUAAGAGGAGAGGAUUCAGAACCAGGUGACGGACUUCUGAGAAAUCCAACCUGGUUGUAUAUCUGAGAUACUGCCACUGCACCAGCACCACAAGAUAAAGCACUCCAGUGUCACCUUGCCCGUGUCCUUGUUAGUGUCACUCAAGACAAUGAACUCUGAUAGGGUAACAGUGGCCGGACCCCAUCGUCGGAGCCCGGACUGUUCUGGUAGGACUUCUCCGCUAUGGAGGAGCCCGACUCGCUCUCACUGUCCACACCCUGGGGUGUGUACGCUGGCGACCUACUGUGGCUGGGAGAACCACGCUCGUGCUUUGGAGUGGACCCACUGAUCAAUGGAGAACCAUAGUUUUUUGAAGAGGCUAUCUGUGGCCUCAGCCCUUCUCCACUACUUUCUCCUGGUUUCUGUAGAGUCACUUUGGCUUUAAUGCUAGGGGAGCCUCCAUCAUGUUUGCUGAUGAUAAUUUUUGCCACACCCGUGCUCCCCACAUUUUUUGACUCUGAGGUCUUCUUAGAAGAAUCCACUGAGCCUCCAGAAGUAGAAACCUUUGAUUUGUCUUUAUCGCUUUUUUCACGUUUGCUCUGGAAUUCCCCUCCUGCCAUGUUAUGUUUAGAGGACAUGGGAUGGUUAGAAUUUGUGCUUACUCCCAUCUGACUCUCCAUUGGAUCCUCACCCCCAGGCCCACUGGUGACAACCCCAUGCUUCAGCUUAUCUAUAACAGCUGUCAAGGAAGGCUUCUUAUUCCUACUGGGAGAUUUUCCUUUGGAACUCCCAUGCUGAUUCUGAGAGGAUGACAUGGAAGAACCACUUGAGGAAAACGAGGAGGAAGAUGGUGUACAAGAAUUAGAUGCUGGGGGAGUUUUCUGAGACACUGAGCCUGAGGAUCCUGACCCCGAAGAUGACUUCGUGCCAGAACUUGAACUAGUUCCUGACAUAUGAGAACCACCAGAACCUGAACUGAUAGGGGACUUGGCUUUAGAGGAUGGGGGAGUCCCAGGAACAGGCUUCAUUGGAGAGGCAAGCUUAUCUGAUCCUCCAGGAGGCCUUGAAUGAGAAGGGGAUAUGUUUGGUUUACUUAUAGAAGGAUUCAUAAGUGAUGAUGGCUUGCCUUGAGGUUUCAUCUUGGUACUGCUAGACCCACUGCUCAGACCAUGUUUGGUAAUGGGAGACGAGCCUGGCUUUCCCCCAGUCUGAGAUGAAUUUUUUGACUGGCUGGAUCCAGAGGACCCCUGGCUAGAAUACAUACUGCCACUUAGCUUGGAACUUGAUGAGCCUUCCGACUUACUGCUUUUCAUCUUGCCUGAGGUGGAAGCAGAAGACGAGGAAGAGGAGGAGGAAGAAUGACUAUGGUGGCUUUUACUGCCAGAGGAAGACACAGAACCACUGCUGGUGUACUGACUGUGAGAGGAAGGCUUGCCCACCAUCACUGUCCCCUUAGGAAUCUGAAUAGUGAUUUUGGGGAUGGGUGGGGUAGCAACACCUGGGGGAGUCUGAGACCUUCCUGAACUGCCUGGAGAUUUGGAUCCACCUGUACUAGUGGGUGGGGUAAAAGGUCUAUUAGAAGAACUGUGAGAUGGAGACUUGCCCUCAGUGUCUGCUUUCUUCCGCUUUGGAGGCUUAUCUUUGCUCUUUCCAUCAUUGGAAGGAGUUCGGCUGCGCUUGCCUGGUUUGCUGUCUAACCCAGGGCCCGAUACACUGCCAGCACCAGUGCCAUUACCUUCCUUUACCCUCUUUUGAGGUUUUUCUUUCCCUAAUUCUCCUGUGGUCAUUAAAGGACUCUGACUACCACUGUGGUGUUCCAUAAGAUCUGCAGAACCCAAAGCCUUACCAGCUACUGAUAUAAUACUGAAGUCAACUGUGUCAGCUUGGCUACUGCUCUUAAAUUUUGUCUCCCCAUUAUCACCCCCAAGUAUUGGCAUCCCCAAAGUAUUUAGUGCCUGAGAUGCAAAUCCUUUGAAAUCAUCAUUAUCCCCACUCUGACUACUUUCAUCAAAAUAUUCUUCUCCAAAACCACUUUGGCUUUGGCUGUUCAACAAAUCAGGAUUGAAAUCUACUCCAUCAGGGAAAAAAUGAUUGGUAGGAGA